CGUGUAGGCGGACUCGGAAGUCGGGUGUGAAAGCCCUGGGCUUAACCCAGGAAGUGCGCCCGAAACCACGAGUCUUGAGGUCCGGAGGGGAUCGGGGAAUUCCUGGUGUAGAGGUGAAAUUCGUAGAUAUCAGGAAGAACACCGGCGGCGAAGGCGCCGAUCUGGACGGAUUCUGACGCUGAGACGCGAAAGCGUGGGGAGCAAAC
Molecule: ribosomal RNA, 206 nt
Filed under: uncultured bacterium
Lineage: Bacteria
Description: partial 16S ribosomal RNA
Rfam family: Bacterial small subunit ribosomal RNA
Source: RNAcentral